Erwinia tracheiphila is the source of this 87-nucleotide non-coding RNA. Lineage: Bacteria; Pseudomonadati; Pseudomonadota; Gammaproteobacteria; Enterobacterales; Erwiniaceae. The record is from Rfam.
AUAGAGCAACAGCUUCUAUGCAGUUUUAGUUGACCCCGAUUAAUCUUCUCGCCCGCCAAAGUGAUGAGAUUAUCGGGGUUUUCGUUU